UAUAAAUUUUAUUCUAGUUUAAUAUUGAAUUGGCUUUAAAUUAAUUUAUAAUAUGUAAGUUUUUGCGUGAUUUUGAAUUUUAUUUUAAUAAUAAUGUUUAAUUUAUUAUUUUUCGCAGUUUUUGAUUUUAAAUUUAUUCAGUGCUCUGAGAUUUAGUUAAAUUUUAUGAUAAAUGACUAGCAAAUGUUGUGCCAGCAGCUGCGGUUAUACAAUUAGUCAAAGUUAAUUUUAUUAGGGUAUAUUAUUUUUAUGAUUUAUAUCUAUGAUAAUUUUUGGGUGAAAUUUAAAUUAUCUUUUAAAAAUUUGGUAUAUUUAUUAAAUCUUAUAAGAAAUUCUUCUUUUAGACUAGGAUUAGAUACCCUAUUAUUGUGAAUGUAUAUUAUUUACUCUUAGUAUUAUAAGUUAUGAUCUUUAAAUUGAAAGAAUUUGACGGUAAUUUAAUCAUUUUAGAGGAACCUGUUCUGUAAUUGAUAAUCCACGAUAAAUUUUACCUUUAAAUAUAAUUUAUUUUAGUUUGUAUAUCUCUGUUUGGUUGAAUGUUUUAUUAGGAUUAUUUUCGUUAAUUUUUCUUUGAGUUUUAUGUCAGGUCAAGGUGCAGCUAAUGUGAAGGUUUGAAAUGGGUUACAUUUUAUUUUAAUAUUUGGAUUUAUUUAAUUUAAUUUUUAUAAUGAAAAUGGAUUUAGAAGUAAUGAAUAAAAUAUUUUAUUCAUGACAUAUGUUCUUGAUUAAGUACACAUCGCCCGUCACUCUCAUUAAUAAGAUGAGAUAAGUCGUAACAAAGUAGUCCUAUCGGAAGUUGGGACUGGAAUAUA
Molecule: non-coding RNA, 812 nt
Filed under: Pentatomidae sp. GM-2014
Lineage: Eukaryota; Metazoa; Arthropoda; Insecta; Hemiptera; Pentatomidae
Source: RNAcentral